AUGAUUUGGCAGCAUAUAUACUAAAAUUGGAAUUAUACAGAGAAGGUUAGCAUGGUCCUGCACAAGGAUGAAACCAAAUUCAUGAAGCAUUCCACAUUUAA
Otolemur garnettii (small-eared galago) is the source of this 101-nucleotide small nuclear RNA. NCBI's taxonomy places the organism in Eukaryota, Metazoa, Chordata, Mammalia, Primates, Galagidae. The record is from Ensembl.